AUUUGAUGGUGUGGACAGCUAGAACACAACUCCUUGAAUCUUUCCCAAUACUCAUACAAGGUUUCACCUGUACAUUGCCUUAUCCCAUAUAUUUCAUUCCUAAUAUU
This 107-nucleotide small nucleolar RNA is filed under the name Ipomoea nil (Japanese morning glory). RNAcentral's name for it is "Plant small nucleolar RNA R71". It matches the Rfam family "Plant small nucleolar RNA R71". Rfam says of the family: R71 is a member of the C/D box family of snoRNAs containing the C (UGAUGA) and D (CUGA) box motifs. Multiple nearly identical copies of this snoRNA have been identified in Arabidopsis, and it is thought to function as a 2'-O-ribose methylation guide for 18S ribosomal RNA. Lineage: Eukaryota; Viridiplantae; Streptophyta; Magnoliopsida; Solanales; Convolvulaceae. The record is from Rfam by way of RNAcentral.